RNAcentral lists this ribosomal RNA (395 nucleotides) under uncultured bacterium. RNAcentral's name for it is "bacterial SSU rRNA". It matches the Rfam family "Bacterial small subunit ribosomal RNA", at positions 107 to 518 of the family's 1533-position model. The record is from RNAcentral.
UGAGUAACGCGUGGUAACCCUGCCUCAUACAGGGGGAUAACAGUUAGAAAUGACUGCUAACACCGCAUAAUAUAGCGAAACCGCAUGAUUUUUGCUAUCAAAUAUUUAUAGGUAUGAGAUGGGCCCGCGUCUGAUUAGCUAGUUGGUGGGGUAAAAGCCUACCAAGGCGACGACCAGUAGCCGGCUUGAGAGAGUGACCGGCCACAUUGGGACUGAGACACGGCCCAAACUCCUACGGGAGGCAGCAGUGGGGAAUAUUGGACAAUGGGGGAAACCCUGAUCCAGCCGACGCCGCGUGAGUGAAGAAGUAUUUCGGUAUGUAAAGCUCUAUCAGCAGGGAAGAUAAUGACAGUACCUGACUAAGAAGCCCCGGCUAACUACGUGCCAGCCGCCGC